GGCCCAACAAGGCGACGAUCAGUAGCCGGUCUGAGAGGAUGAACGGCCACAUUGGGACUGAGACACGGCCCAGACUCCUACGGGAGGCAGCAGUGGGGAAUCUUCCGCAAUGGACGAAAGUCUGACGGAGCAACGCCGCGUGAGUGAAGAAGGUCUUCGGAUUGUAAAGCUCUGUUAUACGGGACGAAAAAAGAUGGAUGCCAACAGUAUCCGUCCGUGACGGUACCGUAAGAGAAAGCCACGGCUAACUACGUGCCAGCAGCCGCGGUAAAU
RNAcentral lists this ribosomal RNA (273 nucleotides) under uncultured Clostridia bacterium. RNAcentral's name for it is "partial 16S ribosomal RNA". It matches the Rfam family "Bacterial small subunit ribosomal RNA", at positions 262 to 525 of the family's 1533-position model. Lineage: Bacteria; Bacillati; Bacillota; Clostridia. The record is from RNAcentral.